CCCUUCUCCUGUCUGCCACCAUGUGAGACGUGCCUUUCGCCUUCCACUAUGAUUGUGAGGCCUCACCAGCCACGUGGAACUAUUUCAAGAUUUCAACAUUUUAAGAUAAUCUGAAAAAAAUUGGAAUGUGCCCCCAGCUGCGCUACUGGUGACUUCUUCAACAGUUAAGAAACUGAACUAUAUGUUCAUGAAAAUACUCAAUCAUUAAAGUUUAUGCAAUACUCUCUCAACACUGUUUAUCAAAGGAACCAAUAUGAAAGGAAAAACAUUGCUUUGAAGGGAAGAUGGAUGGAUCCCCUAGUAAACUACAGCUUGAGGUGCAAUUUCCUAAAGUUCAAACGCCUGAAAAAGGAAACGAAAGAAAACUCAACUCUUGAGACAGCUUUAAUGCUAGCUUUGAUCUCAAUUAUAGAGCUAUUUAUGAAAAGUGCAUUUUUACAACUAAAAAUAAAUUAGGAUCAAAAGCUUCUAGAGGCUAUACCAUGGAGUGCUUAAUAAAAAGUUGAGUAAAGAG
This 514-nucleotide long non-coding RNA is filed under the name Pongo abelii (Sumatran orangutan). RNAcentral describes it as "lincRNA". Lineage: Eukaryota; Metazoa; Chordata; Mammalia; Primates; Hominidae. The record is from RNAcentral.